GCCAUAACCUGCGGCCUCCCAGCCGCCUCUCAGCCGAGGAACUGAGGAGUUUAAAAGCUGCUAGAGACUCCCUCGCUGGCUGUAAGCCGUGAGCAGGCCUGAUUCAGCCGUCUCCCUGCAUAUUGCUGCAGGUUUGGAACAUGUGAGGAGCUGCCAGAGGAAUCACUAAUAUUUUCAUUUCUGCUUCUUCAGCUCCACCUAUUUUUUUCUGUCCUGGAGUUUCAGCUGUAUUUAAUAAGGUCUGGAUGAAGAUGGAGACUGGAAGAGUCAAGAGAUGAAAUGGGGACAAGUGCUUGACCACUGGAGGCUGGUGGCACAGGAUGUGGGAAUGCACCAUGGAGAGAGCAGUGGCUUCCCUGCUCAGUUCCAACUGCAGAAGACAUUGUGAGGACAGACCAUCAAAAGUAAGUGUGACGCUCGCUGGUGCUGGACGCAGCCUGCUGUGGGACAGGCAAUAUCACGCAGCCAAGAUGGUGGCAUUUAAUUGGAAGGUGAGGAUGUUUCACAUUCAUAAAGCAGUGAAUUUCUGCUCUUUCAAGCAAAUGCAUGUAAGGUCUGGGUGGGGUGGGUCCUGUGUUUAUAAAGAUGGCUUUGUUGCCUAG
This 602-nucleotide long non-coding RNA is filed under the name Falco tinnunculus (common kestrel). Its description in RNAcentral is "lncRNA (ENSFTIG00000005914.1)". The record is from RNAcentral. Lineage: Eukaryota; Metazoa; Chordata; Aves; Falconiformes; Falconidae.